This 491-nucleotide ribosomal RNA is filed under the name uncultured bacterium. Its description in RNAcentral is "bacterial SSU rRNA". It matches the Rfam family "Bacterial small subunit ribosomal RNA", at positions 1 to 509 of the family's 1533-position model. The record is from RNAcentral.
CAACAGCUAGAGUUUGAUCCUGGCUCAGGAUGAACGUUGGCGGCGUGCCUAAUACAUGCAAGUCGAACGAAGACUGUAGUAAUACUGUCUUAGUGGCGAACGGGUGAGUAACGCGUGGGUGACCUGCCCCGAAGUGUGGGAUAACAGUCCGAAAGGAUUGCUAAUACUGCAUAAUAUCCAAGAGAUUAGACGCUUUUGGAUUAAAGGAGUAAUUCGCUUCGGGAGGGGCCCGCGUCCCAUCAGCUAGUUGGUAAGGUAAUGGCUUACCAAGGCGAUGACGGGUAGGGGACCUGAGAGGGUGGCCCCCCACAAUGGAACUGAAACACGGUCCAUACACCUACGGGUGGCAGCAGUAGGGAAUAUUAGUAAUGGGCGAAAGCCUGAACUAGCAACGCCGCGUGUGCGAAGAAGGCCUUCGGGUCGUAAAGCACUUUUUGAGAGGAUGAGGAAGGACGGUACUCUCAGAAUAAGUCUCGGCUAAACUACGUGCC